CGCCGCGUGAGUGAUGAAGGCUUUCGGAUCGUAAACUCUGUUGUUAGGGAAGAACAAGUGCUAUUUGAAUAGGCUGGCACCUUGACGGUACCUAACCAGAAAGCCACGGCUAACUACGUGCCAGCAGCCGCGGUAAUACGUAGGUGGCAAGCGUUAUCCGGAAUUAUUGGGCGUAAAGGGCGCGCAGGUGGUUUCUUAAGUCUGAUGUGAAAGCCCCCGGCUCAACCGGGGAGGGUCAUUGGAAACUGGGAAACUUGAGUGCAGAAGAGGAAAGUGGAAUUCCAUGUGUAGCGGUGAAAUGCGUAGAGAUAUGGAGGAACACCAGUGGCGAAGGCGACUUUCUGGUCUGUAACUGACACUGAGGCGCGAAAGCGUGGGGAGCAAACAGGAUUAGAUACCCUGGUAGUCCACGCCGUAAACGAUGAGUGCUAAGUGUUAGAGGGUUUCCGCCCUUUAGUGCUGAAGUUAACGCAUUAAGCACUCCGCCUGGGGAGUACGGCCGCA
Molecule: ribosomal RNA, 504 nt
Filed under: uncultured Bacillus sp.
Lineage: Bacteria; Bacillati; Bacillota; Bacilli; Caryophanales; Bacillaceae
Description: bacterial SSU rRNA
Rfam family: Bacterial small subunit ribosomal RNA
Source: RNAcentral